Molecule: non-coding RNA, 112 nt
Organism: Eumeta japonica
Lineage: Eukaryota; Metazoa; Arthropoda; Insecta; Lepidoptera; Psychidae
Source: the annotation of a GenBank genome assembly
GACGUCCAUACCACGCUAAAUACUCCGUUUCUCGUCCGAUCACCGAGGUUAAGCAGCGUCGGGCGCGGUCAGUACUUGGAUGGGUGACUGACUGGGAACACCACGUGAUGUU